Molecule: ribosomal RNA, 253 nt
Filed under: uncultured bacterium
Lineage: Bacteria
Description: partial 16S ribosomal RNA
Rfam family: Bacterial small subunit ribosomal RNA
Source: RNAcentral
UACGUAGGGGGCAAGCGUUGUCCGGAAUCACUGGGCGUAAAGCGCGCGCAGGCGGUCAUCUACGUCUGGGGUGAAAGCCCGGAGCUCAACUCCGGGAUUGCCUUGGAUACGGGAUGACUUGAGGAUCGGAGAGGCAAGGGGAAUUCCACGUGUAGCGGUGAAAUGCGUAGAGAUGUGGAGGAACACCUGUGGCGAAGGCGGGUUGCUGGGCUGAUACUGACGCUGAGGCGCGAAAGCCAGGGGAGCGAACGGG